Molecule: ribosomal RNA, 465 nt
Filed under: uncultured bacterium
Lineage: Bacteria
Description: partial 16S ribosomal RNA
Rfam family: Bacterial small subunit ribosomal RNA
Source: RNAcentral
GACGAACGCUGGCGGCGUGCUUAACACAUGCAAGUCGAACGGAAAGGCCCUGCUUGCAGGGUACUCGAGUGGCGAACGGGUGAGUAACACGUGGGUGAUCUGCCCUGCACUUCGGGAUAAGCCUGGUAAACUGGGUCUAAUACCGGAUAGGAGCCAUUUUUAGUGUGAUGGUUGGAAAGUUUUUUCGGUGUAGGAUGAGCUCGCGGCCUAUCAGCUUGUUGGUGGGGUAAUGGCCUACCAAGGCGGCGACGGGUAGCCGGCCUGAGAGGGCGGACGGCCACAUUGGGACUGAGAGACGGCCCAGACUCCUACGGGAGGCAGCAGUGGGGAAUAUUGCACAAUGGGCGCAAGCCUGAUGCAGCGACGCCGCGUGGGGGAUGACGGCCUUCGGGUUGUAAACUCCUUUCGCUAGGGACGAAGCUUUUUGUGACGGUACCUAGAUAAGAAGCACCGGCUAACUACGUG